RNAcentral lists this ribosomal RNA (374 nucleotides) under uncultured bacterium. RNAcentral describes it as "partial 16S ribosomal RNA". It matches the Rfam family "Bacterial small subunit ribosomal RNA", at positions 355 to 724 of the family's 1533-position model. The record is from RNAcentral.
UGGGGAAUUUUGGGAUCAAUGGGCGAAAGCCUGAUCCAGCAAUGCCGCGUGUGUGAAGAAGGCCUUCGGGUUGUAAAGCACUUUUGUCCGGAAAGAAAUCCUUGGCUCUAAUACAGUCGGGGGAGUGACGGUACCGGAAGAAUAAGCACCGGCUAACUACGUGCCAGCAGCCGCGGUAAUACGUAGGGUGCAAGCGUUAAUCGGAAUUACUGGGCGUAAAGCGUGCGCAGGCGGUUUGCUAAGACCGAUGUGAAAUCCCGGCGCACUGGACUGCAUGGUGAUCUGGCAGGCUAGAGUAUGGCAGAGGGGGUGAGAAUUCCACGUGUAGCAGUGAAAUGCGUAGAGAUGUGGAGGAAUACCGAUGGCGAAGGCAG